RNAcentral lists this ribosomal RNA (524 nucleotides) under uncultured bacterium. RNAcentral describes it as "partial 16S ribosomal RNA". It matches the Rfam family "Bacterial small subunit ribosomal RNA", at positions 28 to 523 of the family's 1533-position model. The record is from RNAcentral.
GACGAACGCUGGCGGCGUGCCUAAUACAUGCAAGUCGAGCGCAGGAAACUGACGGAACUCUUCGGAGGGAAGGCAGUGGAAUGAGCGGCGGACGGGUGAGUAACACGUAAGGAACCUGCCUCAAGGAUUGGGAUAACUCCGAGAAAUCGGAGCUAAUACCGGAUAGUUCAACGGACCGCAUGGUCCGCUGAUGAAAGGCGCUUCGGCGUCACCUCGAGAUGGCCUUGCGGUGCAUUAGCUAGUUGGUGGGGUAACGGCCCACCAAGGCGACGAUGCAUAGCCGACCUGAGAGGGUGAUCGGCCACACUGGGACUGAGACACGGCCCAGACUCCUACGGGAGGCAGCAGUAGGGAAUCUUCCACAAUGGACGAAAGUCUGAUGGAGCAGCGCCGCGUGAGUGAUGAAGGUUUUCGGAUCGUAAAACUCUGUUGUAAGGGAAGAACACGUACGAGAGGAAAUGCUCGUACCUUGACGGUACCUUACGAGAAAGCCACGGCUAACUACGUGCCAGCCGCCGCCGUAA